This 253-nucleotide ribosomal RNA is filed under the name uncultured bacterium. RNAcentral's name for it is "partial 16S ribosomal RNA". It matches the Rfam family "Bacterial small subunit ribosomal RNA", at positions 524 to 776 of the family's 1533-position model. The record is from RNAcentral.
UAUGUAGGUGGCAAGCGUUACUCGGAAUCACUAGGCGUAAAGCGCAGGUAGGCGGUUCGGUAAGUCUCUUGUGAAAGCUCCCGGCUCAACUGGGAGAGGUCAAGGGAAACUGCCGGGCUAGAGUGUGGCAGAGGAAGCUGGAAUUCCCGGUGUAGCGGUGAAAUGCGUAGAGAUCGGGAGGAAUACCUAUGGCGAAAGCAGGCUUCUGGGCCAUCACUGACACUGAUCUGCGAAAGCUAGGGGAGCAAACAGG